This 497-nucleotide ribosomal RNA is filed under the name uncultured bacterium. RNAcentral describes it as "partial 16S ribosomal RNA". It matches the Rfam family "Bacterial small subunit ribosomal RNA", at positions 28 to 507 of the family's 1533-position model. The record is from RNAcentral.
GAUGAACGCUGGCGGCGUGCCUAAUACAUGCAAGUCGAGCGAACAGAUGAGGAGCUUGCUCCUCUGACGUUAGCGGCGGACGGGUGAGUAACACGUGGAUAACCUACCUAUAAGACUGGGAUAACUUCGGGAAACCGGAGCUAAUACCGGAUAAUAUAUUGAACCGCAUGGUUCAAUAGUGAAAGACGGUUUUGCUGUCACUUAUAGAUGGAUCCGCGCCGCAUUAGCUAGUUGGUAAGGUAACGGCUUACCAAGGCAACGAUGCGUAGCCGACCUGAGAGGGGGAUCGGCCACACUGGAACGGAGACACGGACCAGACUCCUACGGGAGGCAGCAGUAGGGAAUCUUCCGCAAUGGGCGAAAGCCUGACGGAGCAACGCCGCGUGAGUGAUGAAGGUCUUCGGAUCGUAAAACUCUGUUAUUAGGGAAGAACAAAUGUGUAAGUAACUAUGCACGUCUUGACGGUACCUAAUCAGAAAGCCACGGCUAACUACGUG